RNAcentral lists this ribosomal RNA (250 nucleotides) under Minutocellus polymorphus. RNAcentral's name for it is "partial Eukaryotic large subunit ribosomal RNA". It matches the Rfam family "Eukaryotic large subunit ribosomal RNA", at positions 1007 to 1256 of the family's 3401-position model. Lineage: Eukaryota; Bacillariophyta; Thalassiosirophyceae; Cymatosirales; Cymatosiraceae. The record is from RNAcentral.
GGUAAAGCGAAUGAUUAGAGGCCUUGGGGUUGAAACAACCUUAACCUAUUCUCAAACUUUAAAUAUGUAAGAAGUCCUUGUUACUUAGUUGAACGUGGACAUUUGAAUGUAUCGUUACUAGUGGGCCAUUUUUGGUAAGCAGAACUGGCGAUGCGGGAUGAACCGAACGCGAGGUUAAGGUGCCGGAAUGUACGCUUAUCAGACACCACAAAAGGUGUUAGUUCAUCUAGACAGCAGGACGGUGGCCAUG